GUGCCAGCAGCCGCGGUAAUACCGGCAGCCCGAGUGAUGGCCGAUAUUAUUGGGCCUAAAGCGUCCGUAGCUGGCCGAACAAGUCCGUCGGGAAAUCCACGUGCUUAACGCGCAGGCGUCCAGCGGAAACUGUCCGGCUUGGGGCCGGAAGAUCCGAGGGGUACGUCCGGGGUAGUAGUGAAAUCCCGUAAUCCUGGACGGACCGCCGGUGGCGAAAGCGCCUCGGAAGGACGGACCCGACGGUGAGGGACGAAAGCCAGGGUCUCGAACCGGAUUAGAAACCCCGGAGUC
This 291-nucleotide ribosomal RNA is filed under the name uncultured bacterium. RNAcentral's name for it is "partial 16S ribosomal RNA". It matches the Rfam family "Archaeal small subunit ribosomal RNA", at positions 455 to 746 of the family's 1478-position model. The record is from RNAcentral.